UACGUAGGUGGCAAGCGUUGUCCGGAUUUACUGGGCGUAAAGAGCGCGCAGGCGGUCGGAUAAGUCGAAUGUGAAAGCCCCCGGCUCAACUGGGGAGGGUCAUUCGAUACUGUUCGACUCGAAGGCAGGAGAGGGAAGUGGAAUUCCCGGUGUAGUGGUGAAAUGCGUAGAUAUCAGGAGGAACACCGGUGGUGUAGACGGCUUACUGGACCACGACUGACACUGAGGCACGAAAGCGUGGGUAGCAAACAGG
This 253-nucleotide ribosomal RNA is filed under the name uncultured bacterium. RNAcentral's name for it is "partial 16S ribosomal RNA". It matches the Rfam family "Bacterial small subunit ribosomal RNA", at positions 524 to 776 of the family's 1533-position model. The record is from RNAcentral.